Molecule: ribosomal RNA, 484 nt
Filed under: uncultured bacterium
Lineage: Bacteria
Description: partial 16S ribosomal RNA
Rfam family: Bacterial small subunit ribosomal RNA
Source: RNAcentral
AUUGAACGCUGGCGGCAGGCCUAACACAUGCAAGUCGAGCGGAUGAAGGGAGCUUUCUCCUGGAUUCAGCUGCGGACGGGUGAGUAAUGCCUAGGAAUCUGCCUGGUAGUGUUGGAUAACGUCCGGAAACGGGCGCUAAUACCGCAUACGUCCUUAGGGAGAAAGUGGGUGAUCUUCGGACCUCACGCUAUCAGAUGAGCCUAGGUCGGAUUAGCUAGUUGGUGGGGUAAAGUCCUACCAAGGCGACGAUCCGUAACUGGUCUGAGAGGAUGAUCAGUCACACUGGAACUGAGACACGGUCCAGACUACUACGGGAGGCAGCAGUGGGGAAUAUUGGACAAUGGGCGAAAGCCUGAUCCAGCAAUGCCGCGUGUGUGAAGAAGGUCUUCGGAUUGUAAAGCACUUUAAGUUGGGAGGAAGGGAAGUAAGUUAAUACAUUGCUGUUUUGACGUUACCAACAGAAUAAGCACCGGCUAACUACGUG